CGCUUAAUAAUAGCUAAAGUAAUUAA
This 26-nucleotide ribosomal RNA is filed under the name Gnatholebias hoignei. RNAcentral describes it as "partial 16S ribosomal RNA". The record is from RNAcentral. Lineage: Eukaryota; Metazoa; Chordata; Actinopteri; Cyprinodontiformes; Rivulidae.